GAUGAACGCUGGCGGCGUGCCUAAUACAUGCAAGUCGAGCGAACGGACGAGAAGCUUGCUUCUCUGAUGUUAGCGGCGGACGGGUGAGUAACACGUGGAUAACCUACCUAUAAGACUGGGAUAACUUCGGGAAACCGGAGCUAAUACCGGAUAAUAUUUUGAACCGCAUGGUUCAAAAGUGAAAGACGGUCUUGCUGUCACUUAUAGAUGGAUCCGCGCUGCAUUAGCUAGUUGGUAAGGUAACGGCUUACCAAGGCAACGAUGCAUAGCCGACCUGAGAGGGUGAUCGGCCACACUGGAACUGGAACACGGUCCAGACUCCUACGGGAGGCACCAGUAGGGAAUCUUCCGCAAUGGGCGAAAGCCUGACGGAGCAACGCCGCGUGAGUGAUGAAGGUCUUCGGAUCGUAAAACUCUGUUAUUAGGGAAGAACAUAUGUGUAAGUAACUGUGCACAUCUUGACGGUACCUAAUCAGAAAGCCACGGCUAACUACGUG
Molecule: ribosomal RNA, 497 nt
Filed under: uncultured bacterium
Lineage: Bacteria
Description: partial 16S ribosomal RNA
Rfam family: Bacterial small subunit ribosomal RNA
Source: RNAcentral